CCUACGGGGGGCAGCAGUGAGGAAUAUUGGUCAAUGGACGGAAGUCGGAACCAGCCAUGCCGCGUGCAGGAAGACGGCUCUAUGAGUUGUAAACUGCAUGUGUACAAGGGAAAACCAGAAUACGUGUAUGCAGCUGAAAGGACGGUACGAAGAAGGAGCGGCUAACUCCGUGCCAGCAGCCGCGGUAAUCCGGAGGAUCCAAGCGUUAUCCGGAUUUAUUGGGUUGAAAGGGUGCGUAGGCGGAUUGAUAAGUUAGAGGUGAAAUGUCCGAGCUUAACUCGGGAACUGCCUCUCAUACUGUUGAUCUAGUGCGUAGCUGCGGUAGGCGGAAUGUCUGUUGUAGCG
RNAcentral lists this ribosomal RNA (345 nucleotides) under uncultured bacterium. RNAcentral describes it as "partial 16S ribosomal RNA". It matches the Rfam family "Bacterial small subunit ribosomal RNA", at positions 338 to 680 of the family's 1533-position model. The record is from RNAcentral.